This 376-nucleotide ribosomal RNA is filed under the name uncultured organism. Its description in RNAcentral is "partial 16S ribosomal RNA". It matches the Rfam family "Bacterial small subunit ribosomal RNA", at positions 527 to 896 of the family's 1533-position model. The record is from RNAcentral.
GGAGGGGGUUAGCGUUGUUCGGGAAUUACUGGGGCGUAAAGCGCACGUAGGCGGACUGGAAAGUAUGGGGGGGUGAAAUCCCAGGGGCUCAACCCUGGGAACUGCCUCAUAAACUAUCAGUCUAGAGUUCGAGAGAGGUGAGUGGAAUUCCGAGUGUAGAGGUGAAAUUCGUAGAUAUUCGGAGGAACACCAGUGGCGAAGGCGGCUCACUGGCUCGAUACUGACGCUGAGGUGCGAAAGUGUGGGGAGCAAACAGGAUUAGAUACCCUGGUAGUCCACACCGUAAACGAUGAAUGCCAGUCGUCGGGUAGCAUGCUAUUCGGUGACACACCUAACGGAUUAAGCAUUCCGCCUGGGGAGUACGGUCGCAAGAUUA